RNAcentral lists this ribosomal RNA (244 nucleotides) under uncultured bacterium. RNAcentral's name for it is "partial 16S ribosomal RNA". It matches the Rfam family "Bacterial small subunit ribosomal RNA", at positions 88 to 334 of the family's 1533-position model. The record is from RNAcentral.
UCACCUAGCGGCGAACGGGUGAGUAACACGUGGGCAACCUGCCCUCAGCUCUGGGAUAACCCCCGGAAACGGGAGCUAAUACCGGAUAUGACCUCUUUGGACAUCCUUCGAGGUGGAAAGAAUUUCGGCUGAGGAUGGGCCCGCGGCCUAUCAGCUUGUUGGUGGGGUAAUGGCCUACCAAGGCGACGACGGGUAGCCGGCCUGAGAGGGCGACCGGCCACACUGGGACUGAGACACGGCCCAG